RNAcentral lists this long non-coding RNA (236 nucleotides) under Helianthus annuus (common sunflower). RNAcentral describes it as "sRNA HanXRQr2_Chr04g0171071". Lineage: Eukaryota; Viridiplantae; Streptophyta; Magnoliopsida; Asterales; Asteraceae. The record is from RNAcentral.
GGUGACGAUAUAUCAGAGUGGAAUAACACGUGGUUGAAGCGAUUUCUGGUGGAUUAUAUGCUGCGAAUGUCACACUAUGACACUCUCACAAAGCUUGCUGAAAGCAGUAACUUACAGGAUCAUGUUGAUAUUGAGAUCUGUUUAUGAAGCCAAUAGUUAUUGAUGCUCUGCAUAAUAAGGAGGUAGCCCCUGCUCUAGCCUGGUAUGCUGAUAACAAGUCUAGGUUAAAGAAAUUC